Long non-coding RNA from Homo sapiens (human), 949 nucleotides. RefSeq lists it as uncharacterized. The record is from RefSeq and is a predicted model, not a curated record. The transcript has 3 exons. Lineage: Eukaryota; Metazoa; Chordata; Mammalia; Primates; Hominidae.
GAGAAGCCACACCUGAGACCAGCCCCUCUGUCCUCCUGCCUCUGCAUGCAGCGUCCCUGCAGGAGGCAGAAGGGGUGAAAAGUAGCCUCGAUGUGAAAGUCCUUGUGUGUCCCUGAGGGGGGAAGUAAGUCACAGUCGGGACACUGGUUCCUGUCACUGGGUGCAGCACAAAGAAGGACCCCAGGACAUGCGGUGCAGACGGGAGCACAGAGAGGAAGUACAAGUCACAAGACCGGAAUACUUCACUUGAAUAAGAACUCAGUGCAAAGAAGUUGGAUAAAUCGGAGAAAACCACACACGUGGCCAUUGAUGCCCUUGGUUGACAGAGUUGACGGGAUUUUCUCUGGCUCUCACCUUGAGGGCAUCAUCAGCAUCCUGAAGUCACUAGCGGGCCUCUGUGCAGAUGUCCUUUCGAGGGGCUUCAGGCUGUGGAAGUGACCAGUGAACACAGGACCUGCCUGGACUCCCAGCCUCACAGCACAGCACCACAGCCUGGACUGCCCCCUGCCUGAUACUUGCUUGGUUUGGAACUUUACUCCAUCAAAACAUCCAAAUAAAAAUAUGUAGACUCCCCACCCUAUCCCAUCUGCUAUAGGGUUCUAAUUCCCCCACAGACAUCCCAUCACAGUGCUUUCCCCCAUGACGGGGGACUCCUGAGCUGGACUCCAUCCCUCCCCUACCAGAAAAGCACAGGUGCUGUGGCAUGAGUUCAACCACCUGAAAUUCCCUGAUCUUCAGAGUAAUAAUUCUAAAAUAGGGCAAUAAUACCCCUGUCAGUGUUCUUGGAAGAACUUCUCAUUACUUGAGGCCCCAGAAAUGCAAACACUCCUCCGGUUUUCCAGCAUGCUGUCAACCCUGGCAUCAGAGCUCUUCCUGCCGUGGGCACUGGUAAUUGACUUACUGGAGAAAGUCAAGCUUUUAAGUCCCAGGAAUAAAGGAUUCCUAUUUC